Molecule: long non-coding RNA, 2131 nt
Organism: Gallus gallus (chicken)
Lineage: Eukaryota; Metazoa; Chordata; Aves; Galliformes; Phasianidae
Exons: 5
Source: RefSeq, a predicted model, not a curated record
ACACUACCAGGGAACUCUACUUCCUGGGUCUUAGCUCCCAGCAGUCUUGGUUAUUCUCACAUGGGUUUCAGCUCUCCAAGAGGAUCAGACCUAGGAGGACAUUUUCCCUUGUCAACUCUCUAGAUAUCUGUACCAGGAAGAUGAUGAAGGCCACUAUGUGGUGAAUAGCUGCUGCAAUAAUGGCAUGGAGCUGGGACCAGGCUACAGGAUGAGCUGGGCUAGACAGUGAGUUGGACAUACCUGCUAUGAGUGCUGAAAACUUCAGCAAAAGUGGAGUUGAACCCUUUUGUUUCCUCAACAUGAAAUCAUGGUUGAACAGCAGUGAUUCUGCUAAGUUUGUUAGCUCUACUUGGCAAGCGUUUCAGAGCUAUCCUACAGAACAGACUGAUAUGGAUGGAUUGGUAGAGAGGGAAGACAUUAUUAGCCCAUGGUUUCACGGAUUCACAUAUACUCCAAAAUGUCAAGAAAGAGAGCAACAGAUGUAAGAAAGCCUAAAUUCAGUCCUGAUCUCUGUUAUACUCUGAAGAGUCUAUUCAUGAGAUUAUUAAAGAUGAAGCUGAUCAGAUACCUUUGGUAAUGCCUACUACAUGUGCUAUGAUAUUAUUUCACAGGACAUCUUGUUGAACUUACAAUAUAGUUAAGCUGCCAUAGGUAAACUGUCAUAUCUUUAUCGAAAUAAUACUCUUCUUGUGUAACUCUCAUUGAGUGAAGGCUCUUACACUUCAGCUGUGGUAUAUACCAGAACUCUCUUUAGCAUAGUAGACUUUAAGUUUCCAUACAAAAUUAAAUUUAAAUUUUUAUUUCAUCUGCAAUAUUUUACUUGAUCUCUUUACAUAAUUACAGUGAAUGCUAAUGACUGCGAGCCAGAAACAUGUGUCAGUUCUGACCUACUGCUUCACAUGCUUUUGAAAAUUUUUUCUGAAGAUUUCAGGAGGGAUUAUUGCAGUUUUGUUGUGGCACUAGUAGUUCCAGAAUGACUUAGAUCGACCCAUGGCAAAUGGUCGGGCUGUGUUUCCACCUUUGGGGCAAACCGUCCCAGGUGUACUGAACACAACUCCAUGUUAAAAAAUACUUUGGCUUGCAUUCGGUGGCCAAAGGAAUUGAAAAGAAGGUGUUAUCAAUGUCAGUGUUGGAAUACUACUUGGCUGCUUCUGACUCCAGUUCCUACAGGACAUCUAACAUGUCCAGAACAAAAGCAGUCAGUCGGGGUGUAACUGCAUUCAGGCCAUGGUAGUCUACCGUCAGCUUCUAUUCUCUGGCUUUACGCACUGGCAGUAUGGGGCUGUUUAAAGGUACAGUGUAGGUACUAUGUCAUGUCCAUGUCAUAAACUGCCAAGAACAAUAGCACUGCACUUCUGAUUUAUCCUUCCAUUUCGUCACCAUGCUGAUGACAAAAAGUGCAUCCUAGAUAUGCAUUUUGUUCAUCGAAAAAAAUAAGACAAUAAACAUAAUUGGGUUAAUUGAAAACUAGGUAUAAGCUCACAGUGCUGUUGGACAAUGAGUUAGGUAAGAUGACUGUUCUAAUAUAGAAAGAUGUCUCCUUGACCAACUGUGCAAAUAGAGAAAGCAGUUCUAAACAUCUAAUUUAUUUCCUUUGUAUUUCUAGCAUACCUGCUGUAAAUGCAAGAUUAUAGUUGAAAAUUUUGUACUAUGGUGUAAUUUGUUAAGCUAUAGGCAGACUUCUGCAACUUCUGCAUUGUAAUUUCUGCUUUUUUUUUGGACCACGUUACAGCUUUCUUUUUCUAGUAAAAUAUUUCUAAAUACACUUCAUACUGUGUUUCUAUUUUCUGACUGGCAACUUAUCAGGAAGCAUAUGGUGUAAAAGCAUACUGUAUGUUAUAACUCGAAUAAAUUCUGAAAAGCAUUUUGAUACAUGUACAUUUUUUUAAAGCUUUCUGCAACCUCUUUUCCUUUGAAAUCCCCACUGAGUAGCUGCUCCAAUAAGUAAGAUGUUUAUAUUACAUACUUCUUGCCAUUCUUCUGGAAUGUUGUUAUUUACUUACUGUUUGCUUCCCUUUGGAAUAUCCUACUGUGUAUGAUAUAUUGAUUUCAAAUUACGCAUACUACAACUUUUCAUUUUACUUUUGCUUUUUGUUAGCUUUCUGGUAAUGGAAGCAGAGACCACUGUACA